GACCACAGAGAAUCACCUAGCUUAGUAGUGAUGUCCAGGUCCUAUUACACGACCACAGAGAAUCACCUUGCUUAGUAGUGAUGUCCAGGUCCUAUUACAGGACCACAGAGAAUCACCUAGCUUAGUAGUGAUGUCCAGGUCCUAUUACACGACCACAGAGAAUCACCUUGCUUAGUAGUGAUGUCCAGGUCCUAUUACAGGACCACAGAGAAUCACCUAGCUUAGUAGUGAUGUCCAGGUCCUAUUACACGACCACAGAGAAUCACCUUGCUUAGUAGUGAUGUCCAGGUCCUAUUACAGGACCACAGAGAAUCACCUAGCUUAGUAGUGAUGUCCUGGUCCUAUUACAGGACCACAGAGAAUCACCUAGCUUAGUAGUGAUGUCCUGGUCCUAUUACAGGGCCACAGACAAUCACCUAGCUUUGUAGUGAUGUCCAGGUCCUAUUACAGGACCACAGAGAAUCACCUAGCUUAGUAGUGAUGUCCUGGUCCUAUUACAGGACCACAGAGAAUCACCUAGCUUAGUAGUGAUGUCCAGGUCCUAUUACAGGACCACAGAGAAUCACCUAGCUUAGUAGUGAUGUCCUGGUCUUAUUACAGGACCACAGAGAAUCACCUAGCUUAGUAGUGAUGUCCAGGUCCUAUUACAGGACCACAGAGAAUCACCUAGCUUAGUAGUGAUGUCCAGGUCCUAUUACAGGACCACAGAGAAUCACCUAGCUUAGUAGUGAUGUCCAGGUCCUAUUACAGGACCACAGAGAAUCACCUAGCAUAGUAGUGAUGUCCAGGUCCUAUUACAGGACCACAGAGAAUCACCUAGCUUAGUAGUGAUGUCCAGGUCCUAUUACAGGACCACAGAGAAUCACCUAGCUUAGUAGUGAUGUCCAGGUCCUAUUACAGGACCACAGAGAAUCACC
RNAcentral lists this long non-coding RNA (917 nucleotides) under Salmo salar (Atlantic salmon). Its description in RNAcentral is "lncRNA (ENSSSAG00000113545.1)". The record is from RNAcentral. Lineage: Eukaryota; Metazoa; Chordata; Actinopteri; Salmoniformes; Salmonidae.